GACGAACGCUGGCGGCGUGCUUAACACAUGCAAGUCGAGCGGAAAGGCCCUUCGGGGUACUCGAGCGGCGAACGGGUGAGUGACACGUGAGUAACCUGCCCCAGACUUUGGGAUAACCCUCGGAAACGGGGGCUAAUACCGGAUACGACACAGCUUCGCAUGGGGUCUGUGUGGAAAGUUUUUCGGUUUGGGAUGGGCUCGCGGCCUAUCAGCUUGUUGGUGGGGUGAUGGCCUACCAAGGCGACGACGGGUAGCCGGCCUGAGAGGGCGACCGGCCACACUGGGACUGAGACACGGCCCAGACUCCUACGGGAGGCAGCAGUGGGGAAUAUUGCACAAUGGGCGGAAGCCUGAUGCAGCGACGCCGCGUGAGGGAUGACGGCCUUCGGGUUGUAAACCUCUUUCAGCAGGGACGAAGCGUAAGUGACGGUACCUGCAGAAGAAGCGCCGGCCAACUACGUG
Molecule: ribosomal RNA, 462 nt
Filed under: uncultured bacterium
Lineage: Bacteria
Description: partial 16S ribosomal RNA
Rfam family: Bacterial small subunit ribosomal RNA
Source: RNAcentral